GACGAACGCUGGCGGCGUGGAUUAGGCAUGCAAGUCGAACGGUAUCAUCCUUUCGGGGGUGAGAGAGUGGCGAACUGGUGAGUAACACGUAGGUUAUCUACCCUCAAGACGGGGACAACCCAGGGAAACUUGGGCUAAUACCGGAUGUGAGCAACUUUUAGUUGUUUGAAGGGUGGCGUAAGCUGUCGCUUGGGGAUGAGCCUGCGUCCUAUUAGUUAGUUGGUGAGGUAACGGCUCACCUAGGCAAUGAUAGGUAGGCGGCCUUAACGGGUGGUCGCCCACACUGGGAUUGAGAUACGGCCCAGACUCCUACGGGAGGCAGCAGUCGAGAAUAGUCUACAAUGGUCGGAAGACUGAUAGUGCGACGCCGCGUGAACGAUGAAUCCCUUCGGGGUGUAAAGUUCUUUUAUAUGUGAGCAGUGCUUCUUAUAUUAACAGUAUGGGGAGAGAGAUAUUAGCAUAUGAAUAAGCAACGGCUAACUCCGUGCCAGCAGCCGCGGUAAACUCGU
Molecule: ribosomal RNA, 509 nt
Filed under: uncultured bacterium
Lineage: Bacteria
Description: bacterial SSU rRNA
Rfam family: Bacterial small subunit ribosomal RNA
Source: RNAcentral